CUUAAACUCAGCGGGUAGUCCCGCUUGACCUGGGGUCGCAAGGGUGGAAGAAGCAAAAUGAAUUUUACAAACAAUGACAUCAAACCACUCAAGUAAUCCGAACAAAAAGGCACGACGCUUCAUGACGAGAUGCUUUUGGGAUCUAAGCCCAACCAACCACCAAUCAUCACGGCGCUCACUGCCGUAAGCUCCAAGUUUAAGUCAUCCGUGCAAGAAGCACACGGGAGACCACUCUCCGCCCCUCUAACCCAACAAAAGGUAAGUGGGGAGCGACGCAAUGCGUGACGCCCAGGCAAACGUGCCCUCGGCCAAAAGGCUUCGGGCGCAACUUGCGUUCAAAGACUCGAUGGUUCACGGGAUUCUGCAAUUCACACCAAGUAUCGCAUUUCGCUACGUUCUUCAUCGAUGCGAGAGCCGAGAUAUCCGUUGCCGAGAGUCAUUUGAUUAUAUAUUUCAACACCGCAACACCUCAAAGCAACCAGUCGGCACAAGAAGGUGAAGCUUGCGUUCAAGUUCCUUGGCGCAUUCCGCGCCGGAAAGUUGUUCAUGUCGAGGAUGGAGGAUGCACAAUGCAGCCGUCCACACCACAACAAGGGAUGGUUUAAAACAAGUUCACACGUGGCUCUGCUUUUGCAGGUUUCGACAAUGAUCCUUCCGCAGGUUCACCUACGGAAACCUU
RNAcentral lists this unclassified non-coding RNA (679 nucleotides) under Armeria sp. EM358. RNAcentral's name for it is "sequence contains ITS1, 5.8S rRNA gene, ITS2". Lineage: Eukaryota; Viridiplantae; Streptophyta; Magnoliopsida; Caryophyllales; Plumbaginaceae. The record is from RNAcentral.